AGUAAGGUCAGCUAAUAAAGCUAUCGGGCCCAUACCCCGAAAA
RNAcentral lists this transfer RNA (43 nucleotides) under Grammomys poensis (Western rainforest Grammomys). Its description in RNAcentral is "partial tRNA-Met". Lineage: Eukaryota; Metazoa; Chordata; Mammalia; Rodentia; Muridae. The record is from RNAcentral.